GGGAACAUACCCUUUUCUACGGAAUAGCUCUGGGAAACUGGAAUUAAUACCGUAUACGCCCUACGGGGGAAAGAUUUAUCGGGGAAGGAUUGGCCCGCGUUGGAUUAGCUAGUUGGUGGGGUAAAGGCCUACCAAGGCGACGAUCCAUAGCUGGUCUGAGAGGAUGAUCAGCCACAUUGGGACUGAGACACGGCCCAAACUCCUACGGGAGGCAGCAGUGGGGAAUAUUGGACAAUGGGCGCAAGCCUGAUCCAGCCAUGCCGCGUGAGUGAUGAAGGCCUUAGGGUUGUAAAGCUCUUUCACCGAUGAAGAUAAUGACGGUAGUCGGAGAAGAAGCCCCGGCUAACUUCGUGCCAGCAGCCGCGGUAAUACGAAGGGGGCUAGCGUUGUUCGGAAUUACUGGGCGUAAAGCGCACGUAGGCGGAUAUUUAAGUCAGGGGCGAAAUCCCAGAGCUCAACUCUGGAACUGCCUUUGAUACUGGGUAUCUUGAGUAUGGAAGAGGUAAGUGGAAUUGCGAGU
This 520-nucleotide ribosomal RNA is filed under the name uncultured bacterium. RNAcentral's name for it is "bacterial SSU rRNA". It matches the Rfam family "Bacterial small subunit ribosomal RNA", at positions 120 to 674 of the family's 1533-position model. The record is from RNAcentral.